AAACUGACCUAUUUUGGAGUCAUCACUCCCUUUGGAGUUGCUCUCCAGUUCAUUGAUCUUGGCAUCCAGUUGUCUCUGUAGAACUAGACAGAACAAUAGUAAAAUGAUUUGCGGGCACCAGGCUUUUGGGAAAGGAAGAAGCUGGCUCAGUAGGUCUAAAAGACAAAUAAACAUCCUUCAUGAAGAACCAGUAAGAAAUAUGGAGAAGUAAGACUUACGAAACCAUUCUUUCCAACUGUGACCCUUGAUUGACAUCAAAAGAAUCCUGAAGGAGACAGGGGAGGCAAAUUAAGGAGGCUGCUGAGGGGAGGACAGCUCAUAAUAAUGGCAAGAACGGCGGAAAUGGAACAGCAUCAUGAUGUAUUUGAUACCAUUCCACCAAUCCCACUCCAGCCAUUAUCACCAGCCUGUGUUUGCAAGCAUCCACACUAGAUGAAAUUGUAUAUAUAUAUAUAUCCCCAAAGCCAACACCUAAUUUCGCCGCCUUUCCUUCCAGUUCUCUGCUGCCAGUGACUGGAACGAAUUGCAAAAAUCGCUGAAGUUGGAGACUUUUAUUUCCUUCACCAACUUUAAACAUCAACUAUCUGAGCAGCUAACUGAUCGCUGCAGCUGUACAUAGUCCAUCUGUAAAUAGCCCACCCAAUCUAUCUACCUCAUCCACAUACUGUUUUUAUUUUAUUUACUUUUCUGCUCUUUUGCACACCAGUAUCUCUACUUGCACAUCAUCAUCUGCUCAUUUAUCACUUGUGUUAAUCUGCUAAAUUGAAACUAUUCGCUCCUGUGGCCUAUUUAUUGCCUACCUCCUCAUGCCUUUUGCACACACUGUAUAUAGACUUUCUUUUUUCUACUGUGUCAUUGACUUGUUUAUUGUGUUAUUGGCUUGUUUAUUGUUUAUUCCAUGUGUAACUCUGUGUUGUUGUCUGUG
Molecule: long non-coding RNA, 925 nt
Organism: Oncorhynchus tshawytscha (Chinook salmon)
Lineage: Eukaryota; Metazoa; Chordata; Actinopteri; Salmoniformes; Salmonidae
Source: Ensembl